This is a long non-coding RNA of Bos taurus (domestic cattle), 471 nucleotides long. The record is from Ensembl. NCBI's taxonomy places the organism in Eukaryota, Metazoa, Chordata, Mammalia, Artiodactyla, Bovidae.
GCCCCGCCGGCGACGCCACGCUCCCGGGUCCAUGUCCGGCCUCACUGGAGCCCGGGCACCGCGUAGGCGAGGGGCCGGGCUUCCCUUCGAGAGCCGCGGGGACCCGGGAAUGAAUCUGCCAUUGGACUGAGCACUGACCUGAGAGGCAGUGGAGGCCGCACCUGUAAUGGAACUGGACCCCACAUGCUGCAACUAAAAGUUUGUUUGCUACAACUAAAGAUACAACGAAGAUGGAAGAUCCUGCAUGCUGCGACUAAGAUCUGACGCAGCCAAAAUAAAUAAAAGAAUAACACAAAGGAGGAGGGCAGAGUUUCCAAUUUGAUGACACCAGCAAUAAACAAUCUUGAAGCCAAAAUCUGACAGAGAUGCUUUAAGAAAAGAAGAUUACAGAUCAAUAUCCCUCAUAAAUAUGGAUAUAUAAAUCUUUAACAAAAUGUUAGCAAAUUGAAUCCAGCAAUGUAUAAAAAGAAC